RNAcentral lists this ribosomal RNA (737 nucleotides) under Pseudoduganella albidiflava. RNAcentral's name for it is "bacterial SSU rRNA". It matches the Rfam family "Bacterial small subunit ribosomal RNA", at positions 52 to 784 of the family's 1533-position model. The record is from RNAcentral. Lineage: Bacteria; Pseudomonadati; Pseudomonadota; Betaproteobacteria; Burkholderiales; Oxalobacteraceae.
CCCAUGCAAGUCGAACGGCAGCGCGGGCUUCGGCCUGGCGGCGAGUGGCGAACGGGUGAGUAAUAAAUCGGAACGUGCCCAAGAGUGGGGGAUAACGUAGCGAAAGUUACGCUAAUACCGCAUACGAUCCAAGGAUGAAAGCAGGGGACCGCAAGGCCUUGUGCUCCUGGAGCGGCCGAUAUCUGAUUAGCUAGUUGGUGAGGUAAAGGCUCACCAAGGCGACGAUCAGUAGCUGGUCUGAGAGGACGACCAGCCACACUGGAACUGAGACACGGUCCAGACUCCUACGGGAGGCAGCAGUGGGGAAUUUUGGACAAUGGGGGCAACCCUGAUCCAGCAAUGCCGCGUGAGUGAAGAAGGCCUUCGGGUUGUAAAGCUCUUUUGUCAGGGAAGAAAAGGGUACGGCUAAUAUCCGUGCCUCAUGACGGUACCUGAAGAAUAAGCACCGGCUAACUACGUGCCAGCAGCCGCGGUAAUACGUAGGGUGCAAGCGUUAAUCGGAAUUACUGGGCGUAAAGCGUGCGCAGGCGGUUUUGUAAGUCUGACGUGAAAUCCCCGGGCUUAACCUGGGAAUGGCGUUGGAGACUGCAAGGCUGGAAUCUGGCAGAGGGGGGUAGAAUUCCACGUGUAGCAGUGAAAUGCGUAGAGAUGUGGAGGAACACCGAUGGCGAAGGCAGCCCCCUGGGCUAAGAUUGACGCUCAUGCACGAAAGCGUGGGGAGCAAACAGGAUUAGAUA